UACGUAGGGGGCAAGCGUUGUCCGGAUUUAUUGGGCGUAAAGAGCGUGUAGGCGGCCAUACAGGUCCGUUGUGAAAACUGGAGGCUUAACCUCCAGACGUCGAUGGAAACCGUAUGGCUAGAGUCCGGAAGAGGAGAGUGGAAUUCCUGGUGUAGCGGUGAAAUGCGCAGAUAUCAGGACGAACACCCGUGGCGAAGGCGGCUCUCUGGGACGGUACUGACGCUGAGACGCGAAAGCGUGGGGAGCGAACAGG
This 253-nucleotide ribosomal RNA is filed under the name uncultured bacterium. RNAcentral's name for it is "partial 16S ribosomal RNA". It matches the Rfam family "Bacterial small subunit ribosomal RNA", at positions 524 to 776 of the family's 1533-position model. The record is from RNAcentral.